This 181-nucleotide small nuclear RNA is filed under the name Nicotiana sylvestris (wood tobacco). RNAcentral's name for it is "U2 spliceosomal RNA". It matches the Rfam family "U2 spliceosomal RNA". Rfam says of the family: U2 is a small nuclear RNA (snRNA) component of the spliceosome (involved in pre-mRNA splicing). Complementary binding between U2 snRNA (in an area lying towards the 5' end but 3' to hairpin I) and the branchpoint sequence (BPS) of the intron results the bulging out of an unpaired adenosine, on the BPS, which initiates a nucleophilic attack at the intronic 5' splice site, thus starting the first of two transesterification reactions that mediate splicing. Lineage: Eukaryota; Viridiplantae; Streptophyta; Magnoliopsida; Solanales; Solanaceae. The record is from Rfam by way of RNAcentral. RNAcentral also lists the same sequence under 1 other name.
AUACCUUCCUCGGCCUUUUGGCUAAGAUCAAGUGUAGCAUCAGUGCUUAUCAGUUUAAUAUCAAUACAGCUAGUUUUAAGUUAUGUCUUUCUGAUGCAGAUUGAUGACCGUGAAUGUGGUGGUGACUAUCUGAUAGAAAACAUUAUCCGUUUAGCUUUGAACUUAAGCUUGAUAACCUUCU